This 497-nucleotide ribosomal RNA is filed under the name uncultured bacterium. Its description in RNAcentral is "partial 16S ribosomal RNA". It matches the Rfam family "Bacterial small subunit ribosomal RNA", at positions 28 to 507 of the family's 1533-position model. The record is from RNAcentral.
GACGAACGCUGGCGGCGUGCCUAAUACAUGCAAGUCGAGCGCUGAAGGUUGGUACUUGUACCGACUGGAUGAGCAGCGAACGGGUGAGUAACGCGUGGGGAAUCUGCCUUUGAGCGGGGGACAACAUGUGGAAACGAAUGCUAAUACCGCAUAAAAACUUUAAACACAAGUUUGAAGGGUGAAAGAUGCAAUUGCAUCACUCAAAGAUGAUCCCGCGUUGUAUUAGCUAGUUGGUGAGGUAAAGGCUCACUAAGGCGAUGAUGCAUAGCGGCACUGAGAGGGUGAUCAGCCACAUUGGGACUGAGACAGGGCCCAAACGCCCUCGGGAGGCAGCAGUAGGGCUUCUUCGGCCAGGGACGAAAGUCAGACCGCGAAGGGCCGAGGGCGUGAAGAAGGAUGUCGGGUCGGGAAACACGGUUUGUAGGGAAGAAAGUGCGUGAGCGUGGAACGAUCAUUAAGUGACGGUAACUGCUAAGAAAGCGACGGCUAACUACGUG